GAUGAACGCUGGCGGCGUGCUUAACACAUGCAAGUCGAACGGAAAGACCCUGCUCUUGUGGGGUGCUCGAGUGGCGAACGGGUGAGUAACACGCGAGUAACCUGCCCUUGUCUUUGGGAUAUCUUUAGGAAACUGGGGCUCAUACAGGAUAGGAGCUCUUGCUGCGUGGUGGGGGUUGGUAAGAUACGGCGGUUGGGGAUGGAUUCGCGGCUUAUCAGCUUGUUGGUGGGGUAGUGGCAUACAAAGGCUUUGACGGGUAGCCGGCCUGAGAGGGUGGCCGGCGACAUUGGGACUAAGAGACGGCCCAGACGCCUACGGGAGGCAGCAGUGGGGAGUAUUACGCAGUGGGCGGAAGCCUGAUGCAGCAACGCCGCGUGCGGGAUGACGGCCUUCGGGUGAUAAACCGCUGUCGCCUGUGACGAAGCGUGAGUGACGGUAAUGGGUAAAGAAGCACCGGCUAACUACGUG
This 468-nucleotide ribosomal RNA is filed under the name uncultured bacterium. Its description in RNAcentral is "partial 16S ribosomal RNA". It matches the Rfam family "Bacterial small subunit ribosomal RNA", at positions 28 to 507 of the family's 1533-position model. The record is from RNAcentral.